Molecule: long non-coding RNA, 284 nt
Filed under: Elaeis guineensis (African oil palm)
Lineage: Eukaryota; Viridiplantae; Streptophyta; Magnoliopsida; Arecales; Arecaceae
Description: long non-coding RNA (EGUI_LNC077998)
Source: RNAcentral
UCGGUGAUGACUGAUGGAGGAAGAUAAAAGAUCAGCAUUGGCGAUGGUCGAUGGGGGAAGAUGGAAGACUGGAGUCUACAAUGGCCAAUAGGGGAAGACAGAAGAUCAGCAUCCAUGAUAGGCAAAGACAGAAGAUUGGAUGGACACAGACCAAGGCAAAGGGCUAGGACUCUUCAAGUUGGAGUUGGAGUCUUGGAGAUGAAGUGAUGAAUGUCACAAAUAGCAGUUGCAUUUAGCUAGUCAUGGGGGAAGACAGAAGAUCGGCAUCCAUAAUGGGGGAAGAU